This 253-nucleotide ribosomal RNA is filed under the name uncultured bacterium. RNAcentral's name for it is "partial 16S ribosomal RNA". It matches the Rfam family "Bacterial small subunit ribosomal RNA", at positions 524 to 776 of the family's 1533-position model. The record is from RNAcentral.
UACGGAGGGUGCGAGCGUUGUUCGGAAUCACUGGGCGUAAAGGGCGCGCAGGCGGUUUUAUAAGUCAGAUGUGAAAGCCCACGGCUCAACCGUGGAAGUGCAUUUGAAACUGUAAGACUUGAGUAUCAGAGGGGAAAGUGGAAUUCCCGGUGUAGAGGUGAAAUUCGUAGAUAUCGGGAGGAAUACCGGUGGCGAAGGCGACUUUCUGGCUGAAUACUGACGCUGAGGCGCGAAAGCGUGGGGAGCAAACAGG